AGAUGUAGCGCAGUUGGUAGCGCGUACGGUUCGGGACCGCAAGGCCGUGGGUUCGAAUCCCGCCAUCU
RNAcentral lists this transfer RNA (68 nucleotides) under chicken gut metagenome. It matches the Rfam family "tRNA". From Rfam's summary of the family: Transfer RNA (tRNA) molecules are approximately 80 nucleotides in length. Their secondary structure includes four short double-helical elements and three loops (D, anti-codon, and T loops). The record is from RNAcentral.